RNAcentral lists this ribosomal RNA (517 nucleotides) under Triticum aestivum (bread wheat). RNAcentral describes it as "partial small subunit ribosomal RNA". The record is from RNAcentral. Lineage: Eukaryota; Viridiplantae; Streptophyta; Magnoliopsida; Poales; Poaceae.
GAAGUGGAGUGGAGUCGGGGUGGGCCGCCGGCUUCUCUUCCUCUCUCUACCCGCCGCGGCCUCCGCUACGCGGCGACCCUGCUCCGGCGGUGGUCCGAAGCCCUCCUCCAGGGAAGCGGACGGCAACGCCGGAACACUACAAGCGGUGGCUAGCUAAGCAAGCCCUAGUGGUGGCAAGGGUGUUCCUGUAGUGCCGGCGGUUCGUCUCCUUCCGGCGGUUCUUCCUCCGCCGUGCCCAGUUCCGACUUGCGCGGCGACCAGGUAGUUCGGCUGCGGCGGCUUUGGCGUUCGUUGUCUCCGGUUCCUGUACGGGCGCUUGGUUUCCCCGCGGUUGUUCCGGUUGCCCCCCUUCUUCCCGUUCCCGGCCUUCUUGUUCCCGUUACCGCCAUGGUUGGGUCCGCCGCCGCCGCCGAUGUUGCCGCCGCCGCCGCCGCCGCCGCCUCCGAAGUUGCCGCCGGCGCCGCCGCCGCCGCCUCCGAAGUUGCCGCCGGCGCCGCCGCCGCCGCCUCCGAAGUUG